RNAcentral lists this long non-coding RNA (2341 nucleotides) under Sus scrofa (pig). Its description in RNAcentral is "lncRNA (ENSSSCG00015007024.1)". Lineage: Eukaryota; Metazoa; Chordata; Mammalia; Artiodactyla; Suidae. The record is from RNAcentral.
UUCCGGCCGCGCCGUGCCCGCGGAGCGGGGUGCUCGAGGCGGUUUCCGGGGACUGGGCGUCCUGGAUCCCUCUGGGACCGAAGGUCUUAAAGACUGACAGUUUCCAGAGAAAGGCGGCUCUUAGUCGCAGGCUCCCGUCGCGAAAGUAAAGGGAUCCAUGCAAACCGAGGCCCGGAAGAGACAGCCUGGCGGCUACGGGCUGCCGCGAGGUCCAAGCCCCGUGGUUAGGCGUUCCUGCUCGGGGCGGAAUUCUCGCCCGGCGGUCCGGAGCCCGCGGCGGCGUCCCUGAGCCAGCUUUCGGUGUGGCCUGUGCGGUGUGCGGGGAUGAGAGCUCGGAACGGGGGUUGAUGGAGGAGCGGGAGUGGCAGUGAAACGACCGAGCCAGAAAGCACGUGGGGAGAGGGGACAGCGCCAUUGGAGGCCUGAUUUCUGAUCCGCUGAACCGGUGGUUUCUCCCUGAGGGACCUGGAAACCAGCAUCCCAGCGACGCCUUGCAGAUGCUGAGUCCUAAGGUUUUCGAAGGUGCUGCUGACCCAACAAAGCAAAACCAAAGUCCCCGCCUGUCAGGGAGCGCAGAGACUCAUCAAACAGGUAAAUAAGAAUACAGUCAACUUACAAGGACGACUGCUGUGCUCCCGUCGAGGAAAAGACGUAAACAGGGAGCCAGGGCACCUGGGCAUCGACCUGGCCUGGGGUCGCAGGGGAGGGCUUCCUCUACGACGUGAUUUUGGGAAGGACACGUGGGUAUUUGAUGAGGAAAGGAAAGGCGGGCGGGAGUGGAGAAAGAGCUCGAAGCAGAGCUAGGUGUGGAGGCGCUGGCUGGAGAGCAGCAGGGACUGGUGGAGUUUCUGCGAGGAGCCCUGUGCAGAGAGCACGGCAUGGGGAUGCGGCUUGGGACCUGGCUGCGGAGCUCGGGAGGGGCCGGUUCUUAACAACCAAGGAGGGAUUCUGGCCAAAUCUGAGGGCCGUAGCGGCCACUGGAGGGUUUGAUCACAUUUGUGGUUUGUAAAGGUCACUCCGGCUGCUCAUUGGCAAAGAGACCGGCAAAAGGCAAGGACAAAUGCAGGGAAAUGUCCACUAAUGAAUGCUGAUGGAAGAAUCACAUGGCAGCAGUCGACAUUCUGCAACCACCAGGGCAUCGCCCUUGAUGGAUGGUGAGCCACUGGGGGAAAGUUCACGGGAAAAUAGAAGUAGUACAUUUAGAUAUCUAAGUAGUCUCGAAGCUUCUUCCCCACAGAUUGCUAAUUCCUCACAAAGGGAGAAUAAAAUAUAUUUAGGACGUUCUCUUGUCCCGCAGCUAGUUACGGAUCCAGUGUUGUCGCUGCAGCAGCUUGAGUCGCUGCUGUGGCUCAGGUUUGAUCCCUGGCCCAGGAACUUCAGCAUGCUGCGGAUAAGGCCAAAAAAACAACAGGAGUCCCCAGUCGUGGCUCCGUGGUAACGAACCUGACUAGCAUCCAUGAGGAUGUGGGUUCGAUCCCUGGCCUUGCUCACUGGGUUAAGGAUCAGGCAUUCCUGUGAGCUGCGGUGUAGGUCGCAGACUUGGCUCGGAUUCCGUGUUGCUGUAGCUGUGGUGUAGGUCGGCAGCUGCAACUGUGAUUCAACCCCUAACCUGGGAACCUUAUGCCACGGCCCUGGGGGAAAAACAAAACAAAACAAAACAAAAAAAAUACCAACAAAAGCCUUUCCGAUGGAGAAAUCUAUUACCAUUUCAAUCUUGGGUCAAACACCAAAUAUCAGCAAUAAUGAGACAAACUGAUGUUUGUGCAUCCUGGUAGGAUGCCCUGAGGACACACAUCAUUUAUGCAGCACUGCUGCCAAAAAUGUGUUCCCUGACUCCGUGUAGGGGCAGUCAGAACAAUGUACCCUGAGAGGCGUUCACACAGCGCGCAGCCUCUACUCUCAAUGCCAGAGUCCCGGAGGACAAAGGAAAGCUGAGAACCCUUCCAGAUUCAAGGCAUUUAAUGGAAUCCUUUAACGGACUCUGCCUCGAAAAUGGAAGGAGGGGCCCCAAGCCGAAGAAGGCAGGCAGCCUCCAGAAGCUGGAAAAGGCCAGGAAAUCUUCCAGAGGCUCCGGGAGGAACCAGCCCUGCUGACAGCUCAGUUUUAGGAACUGGCCUCCUGAACUGUAAGGCAAUAAACUUGUAUUGUUUGAAGCUACUGCGUCUGCAGUAAUAUGUUACAAAGGGGCCAGGGAAAAGGGACGUGGUGGACAACCAGAAACAGACCCGACGCCGAGCCCCGCCACCUGCUUUAUCUCAUAUAAUAGUUUUUUUUUUUAUUGAUCUUCUAAUCAAAGUAUUUUGCAUAUUGAUUCAGCCAUCAAAUAAAUAUAGUACUUCUC